Molecule: ribosomal RNA, 729 nt
Filed under: unidentified archaeon
Lineage: Archaea
Description: bacterial SSU rRNA
Rfam family: Archaeal small subunit ribosomal RNA
Source: RNAcentral
AUAACCCCGGGAAACUGGGGAUAAUUCCGGAUAACGCAUAUGUGCUGGAAUGCUUUAUGCGUCAAAUGGAUUCGUCUGCCCAAGGAUGGGUCUGCGGCCUAUCAGGUAGUAGUGGGUGUAAUGUACCUACUAGCCAGCGACGGGUACGGGUUGUGAGAGCAAGAGCCCGGAGAUGGAUUCUGAGACAUGAAUCCAGGCCCUACGGGGCGCAGCAGGCGCGAAAACUUUACAAUGCGGGAAACCGUGAUAAGGGGACACCGAGUGUCAGCAUCAUAUGCUGGCUGUCCAGGUGUGUAAAAUACACCUGUUAGCAAGGGCCGGGCAAGACCGGUGCCAGCCGCCGCGGUAACACCGGCGGCCCGAGUGGUGAUCGUGAUUAUUGGGUCUAAAGGGUCCGUAGCCGGUUUGGUCAGUCCUCCGGGAAAUCUGAUAGCUCAACUAUUAGGCUAUCGGGGGAUACUACCAGACUUGGAACCGGGAGAGGUAAGAGGUACUACAGGGGUAGGAGUGAAAUCUUGUAAUCCCUGUGGGACCACCUGUGGCGAAGGCGUCUUACCAGAACGGGUUCGACGGUGAGGGACGAAAGCUGGGGGCACGAACCGGAUUAGAUACCCGGGUAGUCCCAGCCGUAAACGAUGCUCGCUAGGUGUCAGGCAUGGCGCGACCGUGUCUGGUGCCGCAGGGAAGCCGUGAAGCGAGCCACCUGGGAAGUACGGCCGCAAGGCUGAA